This 253-nucleotide ribosomal RNA is filed under the name uncultured bacterium. Its description in RNAcentral is "partial 16S ribosomal RNA". It matches the Rfam family "Bacterial small subunit ribosomal RNA", at positions 524 to 776 of the family's 1533-position model. The record is from RNAcentral.
UACGGAGGAUCCAAGCGUUAUCCGGAUUCAUUGGGUUUAAAGGGUGCGUAGGCGGAAUAAUAAGUCAGUGGUGAAAUCCUGCAGCUUAACUGCAGAACUGCCAUUGAUACUGUUAAUCUUGAGUAUAUUUGAUGUGGGCGGAAUGUGUCAUGUAGCGGUGAAAUGCUUAGAUAUGACACAGAACACCGAUUGCGAAGGCAGCUCACAAAACUAUAACUGACGCUGAGGCACGAAAGCGUGGGUAUCAAACAGG